RNAcentral lists this ribosomal RNA (301 nucleotides) under uncultured bacterium. RNAcentral's name for it is "partial 16S ribosomal RNA". It matches the Rfam family "Bacterial small subunit ribosomal RNA", at positions 509 to 807 of the family's 1533-position model. The record is from RNAcentral.
CAGCAGCCGCGGGAAAACGGAGGGUGCAAGCGUUAAUCGGAAUUACUGGGCGUAAAGCGCACGCAGGCGGUCUGACAAGUCAGAUGUGAAAUCCCCGGGCUUAACCUGGGAACUGCAUUUGAAACUGUCAGGCUGGAGUCUUGUAGAGGGGGGUAGAAUUCCAGGUGUAGCGGUGAAAUGCGUAGAGAUCUGGAGGAAUACCGGUGGCGAAGGCGGCCCCCUGGACAAAGACUGACGCUCAGGUGCGAAAGCGUGGGGAGCAAACAGGAUUAGAGACCCCGGUAGUCCCUGUCUCUUAUAC